GAAGGGGUGGCAGAGUGGUCAUUGCGGCAGACUGUAAAUCUGCUGAUACGAGAUCGUCGUAGGUUCGAAUCCUACCCCCUUCA
RNAcentral lists this transfer RNA (83 nucleotides) under Cavernulicola chilensis. Its description in RNAcentral is "tRNA-Ser". It matches the Rfam family "tRNA". Rfam says of the family: Transfer RNA (tRNA) molecules are approximately 80 nucleotides in length. Their secondary structure includes four short double-helical elements and three loops (D, anti-codon, and T loops). The record is from RNAcentral. Lineage: Eukaryota; Rhodophyta; Bangiophyceae; Cavernulicolales; Cavernulicolaceae.